RNAcentral lists this ribosomal RNA (1243 nucleotides) under metagenome. RNAcentral describes it as "bacterial LSU rRNA". It matches the Rfam family "Bacterial large subunit ribosomal RNA", at positions 1564 to 2816 of the family's 2925-position model. The record is from RNAcentral.
UGAAUACGAGACGCUAAGGCGUUGAAGUAGUGUAUGUCAUACUUCCAAGAAAAGCUUGCACUGUCAUAGAUAAAAAACGCCUGUACCAUAACCGACACAGGUGGGUAGGUAGAGUAUACUAAGGGGCGCGAGAUAACUCUCUCUAAGGAACUCGGCAAAAUAACUCCGUAACUUCGGGAGAAGGAGUGCCUUAUUUAUAAGGCUGCAAUAACAAGAUCCAAGCAACUGUUUAUCAAAAACACAGGUCUCCGCUAAGUCGUAAGACGAUGUAUGGGGGCUGACGCCUGCCCAGUGCCAGAAGGUUAAAGAAGUUGGUUAGCAAUAGCGAAGCUGAUAACUGAAGCCCUGGUGAACGGCGGCCGUAACUAUAACGGUCCCAAGGUAGCGAAAUUCCUUGUCGGGUAAGUUCCGACCCGCACGGAAGGCGUAAUGAUUUGGAUACUGUCUCGGAGAGGGGCUCGGUGAAAUAGACUUGUCUGUGAAGAUGCGGACUACCUGCACCAGGACAGAAAGACCCUAUGAAGCUUUACUGUAACUUGAAAUUGAAAUUGGACCUUAUUCGCGCAGUAUAGGUGGGAGGCGUUGAUUGUAAUCUUGCGGGAUUAUUGGAGCCAUCAGUGAGAUACCACCCUUGUAAUGUUAGAUUUCUAACUUUGAAUCAUUAUCUGGUCAAAGAACAGUUUCAGGCGGGCAGUUUGACUGGGGCGGUCGCCUCCUAAACGGUAACGGAGGCGUACAAAGGUUUCCUCUGAACGGUUAGAAAUCGUAUCUAGAGUGUAAAGGCAUAAGGAAGCUUGACUGUGAGACCUACAAGUCGAGCAGGGACGAAAGUCGGUCUUAGUGAUCUGACGGUACUGAGUGGAAAGGCCGUCACUCAACGGAUAAAAGUUACUCUAAGGAUAACAGGCUGAUCUCCCCCAAGAGUUCACAUCGACGGGGAGGUUCGGCACCUCGAUGUCGGCUCAUCGCAUCCUGGGGCGGUAGUACGUCCCAAGGGUUGGGCUGUUCGCCCAUGAAAGCGGUACGCGAGCUGGGUUCAGAACGUCGUGAGACAGUUCGGUCCAUAUCCGGUGUAGGCGUUAGAAUAUUGAGAGGAGCCUUCUUUAGUACGAGAGGACCGAGAAGGACAUACCUCUGGUGUACCAGUUAUCGUGCCAACGGUAAACGCUGGGUAGCUAUGUAUGGAGUGGAUAACCGCUGAAAGCAUCUGAGUGGGAACCCCACCUCAAGAUAAGUAUUCUCA